Molecule: ribosomal RNA, 229 nt
Filed under: uncultured bacterium
Lineage: Bacteria
Description: partial 16S ribosomal RNA
Rfam family: Bacterial small subunit ribosomal RNA
Source: RNAcentral
UCCGUAGGUGGAUAAUUAAGCCAGAGGUGAAAUCCCGCAGCUCAACUGUAGAAUUGCCUUUGAUACUGGUUAUCUUGAGUCAUUAUGAAGUGGUUAGAAUGUGUAGUGUAGCGGUGAAAUGCAUAGAUAUUACACAGAAUACCGAUUGCGAAGGCAGAUCACUAAUAAUGUACUGACACUGAUGGACGAAAGCGUGGGGAGCGAACAGGAUUAGAUACCCUGGUAGUCC